UGGGGAAUUUUGGACAAUGGGCGAAAGCCUGAUCCAGCAAUGCCGCGUGUGUGAAGAAGGCCUUCGGGUUGUAAAGCACUUUUGUCCGGAAAGAAAUCCUUGGCUCUAAUACAGUCGGGGGAUGACGGUACCGGAAGAAUAAGCACCGGCUAACUACGUGCCAGCAGCCGCGGUAAUACGUAGGGUGCAAGCGUUAAUCGGAAUUACUGGGCGUAAAGCGUGCGCAGGCGGUUUUGCUAAGACCGAUGUGAAAUCCCCGGGCUCAACCUGGGAACUGCAUUGGUGACUGGCAGGCUAGAGUAUGGCAGAGGGGGGUAGAAUUCCACGUGUAGCAGUGAAAUGCGUAGAGAUGUGGAGGAAUACCGAUGGCGAAGGCAGCCCCCUGGGCCAAAUACUGACGCUCAUGCACGAAAGCGUGGGGGAGCAAACAGGAUUAGAUACCCUGGUAGUCCACGCCCUAAAACGAUGUCAACUAGUUGUUGGGGAUUCAUUUCCUUAGUAACGUAGCUAACGCGUGAAGUUGACCGCCUGGGGAGUACGGUCG
Molecule: ribosomal RNA, 544 nt
Filed under: uncultured bacterium
Lineage: Bacteria
Description: partial 16S ribosomal RNA
Rfam family: Bacterial small subunit ribosomal RNA
Source: RNAcentral